CCCGACUGAGGUCGGACGUCGAGGUGAAUGCGGCUGAGGUGAAACCUUCGCUGGAGCUUCGUCCGAAUGCCUGCAAAAUAAGUCCACACGGAGGGAUGUUCUCCAGUGUAGGCGCUCCGACGGCCAAGUCAGGAGAUGGAGAAUAAGGAGAGGAGAAAGUGAGAAGUCGAUUGAUUGAUUCAUACCUUGAAGGGUUCUGAAAUCUUAAUUUAUAGGAGAAAAGUUUGAGUCGUAUCCAUCU
This 241-nucleotide long non-coding RNA is filed under the name Elaeis guineensis (African oil palm). RNAcentral describes it as "long non-coding RNA (EGUI_LNC014897)". Lineage: Eukaryota; Viridiplantae; Streptophyta; Magnoliopsida; Arecales; Arecaceae. The record is from RNAcentral.